GUCUUGGCUGGAGCCUUCCCCUCGCAGCGAGUGCUCUGCCCACCCGGGUCCAAACCUCGGCUGCCGAAUUUUAAUGCAUUUCCUCCAUUAAUUUAAAAUGGAAACGUUUAUUAACUGAAAAAUGAAGGCAUAAUACUGAGUUCUCGUUAGUUUUUAAUUUAAUACUGAGUAAUGAGGGGCAGUACCAGUGGUUAAUUUGGGCCCCCCAGUACCGAAGCAUUUAGGAAUUGCUGCUUUAAGAAAUGAGAUAGAAAGCUACUGAUUUUCUAGACUUUUAUUUCAGGCUGGUGUCCUGGAGAGACCAAGAAAUGGUCUUAUAAAACAACUUAAAAAAAAAAAAAAAGAUAAUUUCCAUAAAGCCAUUCAGAUACCAGUGACCUUUUUCAGAGGGCAUCUGGCUGGUGAACCUCAGUUUACCCACACCUGGCAUUCACUUUAAGUGUGGAGGGACAGAGACAAAUGUUACUGUGCAUUUACCAGUGCCAGAUGCUGUGCUAUCAUUUUACUGCAUGCUAUCUUUAAUUUUUACAAUGAUCUUCUGAGGUAGGUGUUACCUCUCUCUCUCUUUUUUAACAGACGAAUUCACUUAGGCCCAGAGAGAUGAAGUGACUAAUUCAAGGUCACACAGUGUGGAGGAUGGAAUCCCGAUCUUCUGAUUUCCUUAUUGGUGAUCUCAACCUUUCUGACAGCUCCACUUAACCGUCUGCAUAUGGAUGAUGCCCACCUCUGUCUGCAGACCAGUGUCCAGCUGCUCACGUGGCCGGCAUCACAGGGAUAUUGUGCACACUCACCACUGUGUGGCCUCCCGCUCCUUACUUGCCGCCUCACCUGGUGUCCUGUCACAUGUAUGUGUGCUGCUGAAGCAAGCACAGGAAUCUGCAUUUUGAUUGCCUCUCAGAGGACUCUGACUACAGUCAUCAUCUGCAGACCAUAUUUGGAGAAACUGACAGAGGAUUCCACUGACCUCCCAUCUCUAAAGGGGAAGAAAGGGGAUUUGAACACUUUACUUGGAUCUAAAGGUCCUAAGAAACCCAGUCUGUCAUCCAGUGGGAAUAAUGGAUAACUGCGUGUACCGGCACCUCAUCUUCUCAUUGCCACAGUAGAUGCAGAACCAGAUGAGGUAGACAAGGGCUUCAUGACUAAACCAUGGCAGGUGAAAAGUGGUCUUGUCACUAUAAUAUGGUAGUUGAGAAUGUGACUCUGAUAGAUGUGAUGUGAUACGGCAUAUGACUCUGGAGCCCAUCUGCUGGGGCCUGAAUUCUGACUCAGCCACUUAACUGUGUGACCUUGGGUCCUUACAGGAUACAUAGAGGAAGAUGUCCGUGUGAAGAUGGAAGCAGAGAUUGGCGUUGUGCUGCCACAAACCAAAGAAUGUCAAGGAUUACUGGCAACCACCAGAAGCUGGAAGAGGCAAAGAAAGAUUCUCCCCUGGAGCCUUCACAGGGAGCAUGGUCCUGCUGAAACCUUGAUUUUGGACUUCUAGCCUCCAGAACUGUGAGAGAAUAAAUGUCCUUUGUUGGAAGCCACUAACUUUGUAGUGUUUGUUAUAGCAGCCCUGGGAAACCAACA
Enhydra lutris kenyoni (northern sea otter) is the source of this 1569-nucleotide long non-coding RNA. RefSeq lists it as uncharacterized. The transcript is spliced from 5 exons. NCBI's taxonomy places the organism in Eukaryota, Metazoa, Chordata, Mammalia, Carnivora, Mustelidae. The record is from RefSeq and is a predicted model, not a curated record.